Molecule: transfer RNA, 77 nt
Filed under: Sus scrofa (pig)
Lineage: Eukaryota; Metazoa; Chordata; Mammalia; Artiodactyla; Suidae
Rfam family: tRNA
About the family: Transfer RNA (tRNA) molecules are approximately 80 nucleotides in length. Their secondary structure includes four short double-helical elements and three loops (D, anti-codon, and T loops).
Source: Rfam by way of RNAcentral
UCCCUGGUAGCCUAGUGAGUUAAGGGUCCAGCAUUGUCACUGCUGUGGCAGCGCAGGUUCGAUUCUUGGCCCAGGAA